This 610-nucleotide ribosomal RNA is filed under the name Lactococcus lactis. RNAcentral's name for it is "bacterial SSU rRNA". It matches the Rfam family "Bacterial small subunit ribosomal RNA", at positions 73 to 674 of the family's 1533-position model. The record is from RNAcentral. Lineage: Bacteria; Bacillati; Bacillota; Bacilli; Lactobacillales; Streptococcaceae.
ACUUGUACCGACUGGAUGAGCAGCGAACGGGUGAGUAACGCGUGGGGAAUCUGCCUUUGAGCGGGGGACAACAUUUGGAAACGAAUGCUAAUACCGCAUAAAAACUUUAAACACAAGUUUUAAGUUUGAAAGAUGCAAUUGCAUCACUCAAAGAUGAUCCCGCGUUGUAUUAGCUAGUUGGUGAGGUAAAGGCUCACCAAGGCGAUGAUACAUAGCCGACCUGAGAGGGUGAUCGGCCACAUUGGGACUGAGACACGGCCCAAACUCCUACGGGAGGCAGCAGUAGGGAAUCUUCGGCAAUGGACGAAAGUCUGACCGAGCAACGCCGCGUGAGUGAAGAAGGUUUUCGGAUCGUAAAACUCUGUUGGUAGAGAAGAACGUUGGUGAGAGUGGAAAGCUCAUCAAGUGACGGUAACUACCCAGAAAGGGACGGCUAACUACGUGCCAGCAGCCGCGGUAAUACGUAGGUCCCGAGCGUUGUCCGGAUUUAUUGGGCGUAAAGCGAGCGCAGGUGGUUUAUUAAGUCUGGUGUAAAAGGCAGUGGCUCAACCAUUGUAUGCAUUGGAAACUGGUAGACUUGAGUGCAGGAGAGGAGAGUGGAAGUCCAUGG